Talpa occidentalis (Iberian mole) is the source of this 2261-nucleotide long non-coding RNA. RefSeq lists it as uncharacterized. NCBI's taxonomy places the organism in Eukaryota, Metazoa, Chordata, Mammalia, Eulipotyphla, Talpidae. The transcript is spliced from 4 exons. The record is from RefSeq and is a predicted model, not a curated record.
CUGUGAUGGCCACUGAGACCAGAAAGCAUUUCGCUGAAUAAAUGGACACAGAAAAGAGACAGAAAUCAGCAAGGCUGCCCUCUGAAGACACUUUGAAGCUCCUUCCUUGUCACGUGUGUUCAGUUCCACAAAUUGGACUGCCUUCAAGAUUUGAAUUUAAUGGAAGGCUAAUGCAGAAUCCAAUUACCACAUUCUGACUUCACAGGCAGAUUACAGAGCUUCAAAAAGAUAAAUCGAUCCAACAGGUCUUGCUGAGGACCAGAAUGAGGAAUGUUUAUAAAGCACCAGGACAGGCACACAAUGUAUGCAGAUCUGGAAAGGUAAACCUUUACCUCAUAGAGGCUUCACAGCUGAGAAUGGCCAUGGGGACAAGUCUGUGGAGGGGAAGUGGUUUUGCCUGAGCCUCUUCCAAUACUACUUUCCUCCUACUUGGAAUGUAUCUGGGCCAAGAACAACAGAGUCAGGAGUGAGGAGUAUAGAUCUACAAUUUAGCCACUAUUCAGCAAGCAUUUAUUGAGCAUCUACUGCGCUCUGGUAGGAGGUGAAGGAUAAAGAUAUAAAACAAAGGGACAGUCCCUAGCUUUAUGGAACAUGUAAGGACAUGCUUUAUAAGAGCAGCACAAAGUGAUACAAGCCAUAAAACUCAGUAAGCUGGAGUGGUCUGGGGAGAUGGUAUUCACCACAGGUAUUCUCAAUAAACCAAUGGGGAAAAUUACAGUAUCAUGUUUUUGAAAGACUGGCAUGUUGUCAGUAAAAGCAAAGUGAAAUAACAGAUUUGGGAAAGAAAUGUUUUGCUUGAUAAUUCAUUGUGAUUUCAGCUUAUCUUCUCACUGGACUAUAGAGAUGACCAAAAGAAAUAAAAAUCUGAAAAUACUUAAAGAAGGAAAGUUCCAUGGCAGUGGAACUGGACAUCUGCCAUGUAGGCAAACCUGCAACUGUAGUGCCAGGAGAUUGCCAAGAAACUCAGCCUUUUUCCAAGUUCCUUGUGGACCCCAGUCAUAAGCUCUCUAAUAAUUACCACUGCACUUGCGACUAGGAAGCUAUCUGUGCAGUCCUCAGUCGUCAUGUCCUUCCAGAAGAUGCUGGUGUCUGGUGAGCCAGAAGAGAGCUGUGACAGCCACUGAGAAGAUAGCUGUGACUCCAGCUUCUCCUAGAAAAGGGUGGGAGCUGUCCAAGCUACGUGUCCUUAGCUGUGACACUGUGCCCUUGGGCACCUGGCCAGGACCUCUCAGCCACCUGAAUGGAUCCACUUCUUGGAUUUCCUCCAAGGAGAAUGUGACCUAAUUUAUGAGAAAUACAUGGAGCUCCAGAAUCUGAACAAAAAGAGAAUGCUGAAAGCAGGAACCUCAUCCCCCACCACAUGGAGGCACUUACUAGAAACCAGGCUCUGUGCAAUGAAUGUUUGAACUCAUCUGCCUUUCUCUAGUUAAUUCUCAGCUGCCCCCAUGAAGCAGGCUGAUUUAUAACAAUGGAGAAACUGGGUGUAAACUUGGGAAACACCAUAGAAUGAGCCAACACUCUGACACCUGUGUUCUCCUGACCCUCCUCAUAGACAAUUGCCACUCCUGGUGACCUGAGGUGUGAAGUGGUCAAAGCAAACCCAAAGUUUCAGUAUAUACAUAAACCACCAAAAAGAAAUGCAAAACCCCCAAGAAUGCAUAUAGAGGCGUAUGUAUAGUGUAUACAAAGCAUACAGAUAUAGCACAGUUUAUGUAAAGAAUACACACACACAAAUGCUAAUAAACAGCAGCUAAUAGAAACGAGCUUUUUGAAAAAAAAAAUUUCUGUGUGCAGUGAAACCUGGAGGCUCAGAGGCAAAGAUCUCAGGAGAUGUUUCCUGUGGCUUCCUGCUCUGACCACAGUGAGGUGCACCUGGGGGUCAUAGCACCAUCCUGCUACGGCAGUGCUGCGGAGCCCAGGGCACUGAGCAGGUUAUACGUAAGCUGGCAUGGAAACACCCUACAUGAAGCAAUUUUUCCUUUGGUGUCUUCGUUGUCAGUGUGUUUUUCAAAUCAAUGGGAAAAUAGCACAGCAACUGUGUUCACCCAAGAAGGACCAAAUAUUCUUGUCAUGAACACAAAUGAGCCGUUACGUUUUCAAAUACUUAGUGUUUUCAGGGAAGGCACAUGAUCAUUAUGAGCUUGAAAAUGCUUCUUAGGCCUGGAGAUAAUAAACUGUUUUAUCAUGUGCUCUGGAGACUCAGUUUUGCCAAAAAUUUGGAUUUUCAAUGACAAAAAUGCCUCACAUAAAUUAAAGAAUCA